Molecule: ribosomal RNA, 495 nt
Filed under: uncultured bacterium
Lineage: Bacteria
Description: partial 16S ribosomal RNA
Rfam family: Bacterial small subunit ribosomal RNA
Source: RNAcentral
GAUGAACGCUGGCGGCGUGCCUAAUACAUGCAAGUAGAACGCUGAAGGAGGAGCUUGCUCUUAUGGAUGAGUUGCGAACGGGUGAGUAACGCGUAGGUAACCUGCCUGGUAGCGGGGGAUAACUAUUGGAAACGAUAGCUAAUACCGCAUGACAACAGUUAUUGCAUGAUAACUGUUUAAAAGGGGCAACUGCUCCACUACCAGAUGGACCUGCGUUGUAUUAGCUAGUUGGUGAGGUAACGGCUCACCAAGGCGACGAUACAUAGCCGACCUGAGAGGGUGAUCGGCCACACUGGGACUGAGACACGGCCCAGACUCCUACGGGAGGCAGCAGUAGGGAAUCUUCGGCAAUGGACGGAAGUCUGACCGAGCAACGCCGCGUGAGUGAAGAAGGUUUUCGGAUCGUAAAGCUCUGUUGUAAGAGAAGAACGAGUGUGAGAGUGGAAAGUUCACACUGUGACGGUAUCUUACCAGAAAGGGACGGCUAACUACGUG